RNAcentral lists this ribosomal RNA (253 nucleotides) under uncultured bacterium. RNAcentral's name for it is "partial 16S ribosomal RNA". It matches the Rfam family "Bacterial small subunit ribosomal RNA", at positions 524 to 776 of the family's 1533-position model. The record is from RNAcentral.
GACAGAGGGGGCAAGCGUUGCUCGGAAUCACUAGGCGUAAAGGGCGCGUAGGCGGGAUGGCAAGUCAGUCGUGAAAUCUCUCGGCUCAACCGAGAAACGUCGGCUGAUACUGCCGUUCUUGAGGGAUGCAGAGGAGACUGGAAUUCCCGGUGUAGCGGUGAAAUGCGUAGAUAUCUGGAGGAACACCGGUGGCGAAGGCGGCUUCCUGGACCGACACUGACGCUGAGGCGCGAAAGCUAGGGGAGCAAACGGG